GACGAACGCUGGCGGCGUGCUUAACACAUGCAAGUCGAACGGAAAGGCCCUGCUUUUGUGGGGUGCUCGAGUGGCGAACGGGUGAGUAACACGUGAGUAACCUGCCCUUGACUUUGGGAUAACUUCAGGAAACUGGGGCUCAUACCGGAUAGGAGCUCCUGCUGCAUGGUGGGGGUCGGAAAGUUUCGGCGGUUGGGGAUGGACUCGCGGCUUAUCAGCUUGUUGGUGGGGUAGUGGCUUACCAAGGCUUUGACGGGUAGCCGGCCUGAGAGGGUGACCGGCGACAUUGGGACUGAGAUACGGACCAGACUCCUACGGUAGGCAGCAGUGGGGAAUAUUGCACAAUGGGCGGAAGCCUGAUGCAGCAACGCCGCGUGCGUGAUGACGGCCUUCGGGUGGUAAACCGCUUUCGCCUGUGACGAAGCGUGAGUGACGGUAAUGGGUAAAGAAGCACCGGCUAACUACGUG
This 468-nucleotide ribosomal RNA is filed under the name uncultured bacterium. RNAcentral describes it as "partial 16S ribosomal RNA". It matches the Rfam family "Bacterial small subunit ribosomal RNA", at positions 28 to 507 of the family's 1533-position model. The record is from RNAcentral.